Molecule: ribosomal RNA, 751 nt
Filed under: Escherichia coli
Lineage: Bacteria; Pseudomonadati; Pseudomonadota; Gammaproteobacteria; Enterobacterales; Enterobacteriaceae
Description: partial 23S ribosomal RNA
Rfam family: Bacterial large subunit ribosomal RNA
Source: RNAcentral
GGGACACGUGGUAUCCUGUCUGAAUAUGGGGGGACCAUCCUCCAAGGCUAAAUACUCCUGACUGACCGAUAGUGAACCAGUACCGUGAGGGAAAGGCGAAAAGAACCCCGGCGAGGGGAGUGAAAAAGAACCUGAAACCGUGUACGUACAAGCAGUGGGAGCACGCUUAGGCGUGUGACUGCGUACCUUUUGUAUAAUGGGUCAGCGACUUAUAUUCUGUAGCAAGGUUAACCGAAUAGGGGAGCCGAAGGGAAACCGAGUCUUAACUGGGCGUUAAGUUGCAGGGUAUAGACCCGAAACCCGGUGAUCUAGCCAUGGGCAGGUUGAAGGUUGGGUAACACUAACUGGAGGACCGAACCGACUAAUGUUGAAAAAUUAGCGGAUGACUUGUGGCUGGGGGUGAAAGGCCAAUCAAACCGGGAGAUAGCUGGUUCUCCCCGAAAGCUAUUUAGGUAGCGCCUCGUGAAUUCAUCUCCGGGGGUAGAGCACUGUUUCGGCAAGGGGGUCAUCCCGACUUACCAACCCGAUGCAAACUGCGAAUACCGGAGAAUGUUAUCACGGGAGACACACGGCGGGUGCUAACGUCCGUCGUGAAGAGGGAAACAACCCAGACCGCCAGCUAAGGUCCCAAAGUCAUGGUUAAGUGGGAAACGAUGUGGGAAGGCCCAGACAGCCAGGAUGUUGGCUUAGAAGCAGCCAUCAUUUAAAGAAAGCGUAAUAGCUCACUGGUCGAGUCGGCCUGCGCGGAAGA